RNAcentral lists this ribosomal RNA (450 nucleotides) under uncultured bacterium. Its description in RNAcentral is "partial 16S ribosomal RNA". It matches the Rfam family "Bacterial small subunit ribosomal RNA", at positions 338 to 795 of the family's 1533-position model. The record is from RNAcentral.
CCUACGGGUGGCUGCAGUGGGGAAUCUUGCGCAAUGGACGAAAGUCUGACGCAGCGACGCCGCGUGGGUGAUGAAGGCCUUCGGGUUGUAAAGCCCUGUGGGGAGGGACGAAUAAGUGCUGGCUAACAUCCAGCGCGAUGACGGUACCUCCUUAGCAAGCACCGGCUAACUCUGUGCCAGCAGCCGCGGUAAGACAGAGGGUGCAAACGUUGUUCGGAAUUACUGGGCGUAAAGCGCGUGUAGGCGGCGCGAAAGCCCUCGGCGCAACCGGGGAAGUGCAUUCGAAACUGCAGAGCUAGAGUCACGGAGAGGAUGGUGGAAUUCUCGGUGUAGAGGUGAAAUUCGUAGAUAUCGAGAGGAACACCGGUGGCGAAGGCGGCCAUCUGGACGGUGACUGACGCUGAGACGCGAAAGCGUGGGGAGCAAACAGGAUUAGAUACCCCGGUAGUC